RNAcentral lists this long non-coding RNA (17968 nucleotides) under Homo sapiens (human). RNAcentral describes it as "long non-coding RNA NONHSAT211895.1". Lineage: Eukaryota; Metazoa; Chordata; Mammalia; Primates; Hominidae. The record is from RNAcentral.
CGGGGUUUCACCAGGCUGGUCUCAAACUCCUGAUCUUAGGUGAUCCACCUGCCUCGGCCUCCCGUAGUGCUGGGAUUAUAGGCUUGAACCACCGUGCUUGGCCCAGGAGUUGUAUUCUUGAUCUAGGUUUAAAUGUAAACCUACACUUGGCCUAGGUUUUAAGUAAAACCCUACGUGUUUUUGCCUAUGUAAAGGUCUGUUAGGACAUUGGAAAGUUGUGCAGGAUAUGGGACAGUUCUUUCUAGUGUGACCUGCCCUGAAUACUGCAGGACAUCCACUAUCCCUGACCCUGCCGGAUAAUGCAAGUAACACCCCAGCUCCAACUGUCAUGAUGAUGAAAAAUGCCCCCAGUAUUGCCAAAGUGGCCCUUAGAAGCUGGUUUUUCCCUUCUUGAAGAGCACCGAAGCCUUUUUGAAGAAGGAUGCCACCUAUGUGUCAUCUGGAUGCCUAAUAAUAGCACCCGGCACUGAGUUGGGUUGGAGGUAGCUUCCUGACUCUGUUGAACCAAGUCUUUAAAGCCGAUUCUGUUAAGCCAGGUUUGUCUCGCCAGCACAUGAUGAAGGGUUGUUGCUAUGGACUGAGCCUCCAGGAUUCUAUCUGUGAUGGUGUGACUGGGGCCCGUGACAGAGGACAGCACAGUGGCUACGCCAAGGGCUGGAUAACACAGAGAUGCCCUCUGGGCCAGCACCCCCAAGUGCCAUGUAUAUUUCCAGAGCAUCUCUAAGUUUCCCCCAUUUGGCUGUGAGACCUCAUCCACAAGGCCUUCUCCUACCUCCUGUGAUGAUCUCUGGGGUCGCCACCGCAUCAGUGCCUUCACAGCAUUCCUUGGAUAUGGCAGUGCAUGGCUGGGCUGGCUCAGCUGAGAACAGCUGUCCACGCGGAACAGGAACCCAUUGGAGGCAGCACGUAUUCUCGGCUGCUCUGGUGAGAGUGGUGUUUCCAGAUUCUGGUGGGCCUCCCUCUCCAACACAGCAUACCUGGCUGACCUCCAGCUUGGCCCUGGAGGGGUUUCCCUCCUCCCUUUUUCUCCACAGCUUCAUUUGAGAGUGGGAUUCAGGAGGACUCUCCUCCACCAGCAGCUCACUUCCUGUUUGCAUUGUUCGGAAAGCCAGGCAAGAUCUGGGGAUAAGUAACCCCUGUCCCCCACAUUUACAGCUCUGAGGAUUUUCUAAAAGGCUGAUCAACAAUCUGAUUCCUGGGGACUCUGCUCUACUCUCUAAUUUCAGAAAGCAUGUUGCACUGUGGCCCUCAGCUGGGCAUCCUGCCCUUAGAGUCCUGUCUCUUGGCAUAUCCUAGGUCUCAGCUAGGUGGCGGCUUUCCUCUGCUUCUGAAGGUAAACAAUAGUAGCAGAGGGUAGAAGCCAGCUGUUCCUUGCCCCCAGGCCUCAUUUCUAGGGUUGGCACUCCAUGAUGGCAAGAGACAUUAUCUCUGGCAGACAGCAGAGGGUGGCAGGGGACUGAAGAUCUCAUUUUGCCCAUUUAUGCGAUUCCUCUCCGGCCCCAGUCUUAUUUCCUGUCUUGUUCCCACCUUCUGCCUCUGUUCAUGUAUAGGCUUUAGCACACGGCAGACAUUUAGCACACGGCAGACAUUUGACAUUCUGCAACUCUGCAAGAUGUUCAGUUUCCUGAUUAUUGAAUACCUAGACCUUCUUAAUAAGCCUGAGCCUCAUUUCCAUUCUCAUUUCCAGUAGGCCAGCUUGAACCAAACCAUAUUGCUAUCAUAAAGAAGCUUACUAGAAAAAUAAAGAAAUGGGAGAGGCUAUAGUGUGUAGGGAUUUAUACUGCAUAAUAACACUUCAAAGAAAUUAAGGAAGUGAUUACUGUAAAAGUCAGAAUCAUUGUUAAUUUGGGCGGCAGAGACUGGACUGUGGGUGGCCUGGAAAAGUUCUAUUUCUUGAUUUGCAUGCUGGGCUCCAAGGGUAUUUAGCUUAUAAUAAUUCAUCAAGCUAUGCAUUUUUGCAUACUGUGUAUAUAUGUAUUUAUUUUCCAGUAAAAAGUUAAACAAUCCAAUCAAAAGGCAGAGAUUGUCAGGCUGGAUUAAAAAUCAUGACCCAAUUUUAGAUUCUAAGAAACUAGUAGGUUGAAUGUAAAAUAAUGGAAAAAAAGACGUAGCGGGUAAACAACAACCACAAGAAAGUAGAAGUGGCUAUAGAUAUGCACCUAAUACUGAAACGUCAAAACACACGAAGCAAAAUGGACAGAAAGGCAAGAGAAAGAUAAUUCAACAAUCGUUGGAUACUUCAGUACCUCACUCUCAAUAAUAGAUGGAACAACCGGACAGAAGAUUGCUGAGGAAAUAGAAGACUUUAAUAAUACUCUAAACCAACUAGACCUAGCAACAUCUAUAGAACAUGUCACCUAACAACGGAAUAUAUACUCCUCUCAAGUGCACAUAAAACAUUGUCCAGGAAAGAUCAUAUGCUAGGGCAUAAAAUAAACAUCAAUACAUUAAAUAGGGUAGAAUAAUAAAAAGUGUGCUCUUCAGUCACAACGAAUAAAAUUAGAAAUCAAUAGCACAAAAAAUCAGGAAACUCACAAAUAUGAUAUAAUAUUCCUAAAUAAUAAAUGAGUCAAGGAGGAAAUAAAAAAACUAUUCAGAAAGUGGCUGGGCGCGGUGGCUCACACCUGUAAUCCCUGCACUUUGGGACUCUGAGGCGGGUGGAUCACCUGAGGUCAGAAGUUCGAGACCAGCCUGACCAAUAUGGUGAAACCCUGACUCUAGUAAAAAUACAAAAAUUAGCUGGGCAUGGUGGCCUGUGCCUGUAGUCCCAGCUACUUUGGAGGCUGAGACAGUAGAAUUGCUUGAACCCGGGAGGUGGAGGGUGCAGUGAGCCGAGAUCACACCAUUGUAAUCCAGCCUGAGUGACAGGGCAAGAUUCUGUCAAAAACAAAAACAAAAACAAAAACAAACAGAAAAAAGAAUUCAGAAACUACUUUGUGGUAAAUGAAAAUAAAGAUCAAUAUAUCAAAAAUUUAUAGGAUGCAGCUAAAGCAAAACUUAUAGGAGAAUUUAUCAUUGUAAAUGUCUAUAUUCAGAAAGAAGAAAAAUUAAAAAACUUGUAUGUAAAUGUUUCAAGCAGCAUUCUUCAUAAUAGCCCAAAGUGGGAACAACCCAAAUGCCAUCAACUGACAGAUGAACAAAUGUGCUAUAUGGUACAAUAGAUUGUUAAUUGGCCAGAAAAGGGAAUGAAGUACUGAUACCUUCAAAAGCAUGGAUGGAUCUUGGAAAUGCUAUGCUAAGUGAAAGAUGCCAGUCACAAAAGAAUAUACAUUAUAUGAUUCCAUUCAUGUGAAAUUCCAGAACAGAGAAGUCUACAGAGACAGAAGGUGGAAUAGUAAUUACUUAGGGCUGAGGGAGGACGGGGAGGUGGAUACAGGGAUAAUUGCUAAGGGUAUGAGGUUGCAUUUUGAGUUGAUAAAAUGCUCCUAAAUUGACUGGGGUGAUAAGUGCAAAUAUCUGUGAAUAUACUGAAACCAUUGAAGUGUACACUUUAAGUGGGUGACUUGGUUGGUAUCUGAAUUACAUAUCAAUAAAGUUGUUUUUUAAAAAGUUAAAAAGUGUUUAGAAACAUUGCUGUAAGUACCUUUGAAUACACAUGAGUCAGACAUAUUUGGGAGGAUCUGUAAAUUCAGAUUUAACCAAUAUAAUAAUAUUAAACAUUAAAAGUUUAGUUUUACUCAUCUUUAUCCAAUGUAAACUGUAUUUUAUACUAAUACUAUAAUAGAAUAAGCUCCACUUUUUAUAUUUAACGUCUUCAGCAUUUUCUAAUAUUUCAAUUCAGUUUUUGUAAUUAGCUAUUUUAAAAGUCUGUCUACAAUUUCAAGGAGUGAAUUUGCUGAAGUUUAUGUAGUAAUUCUCCCUAUCCCCUGUAAGAAAUUGUCAAACCAUUUUCCAAAGUGGUUGUACCAUUUUGCAUAUCCACCUGAAAUAUAACAGAGUUCCAGCUGCUCUACAUCCUCAUCAGCGCUCUAUGUUGUUAGCUUUUAAAAAGCUAUUCUGGCCAGGCACGGUGGCUCAUGCCUGUAAUCCCAGCACUUUGGGAGGCCAAGGCAGGUUCGAGACCAGCCUAGCCAAACAUGGUGAAACGCCGUCUCUACUAAAAAUACAAAAAAUUAGCUGGGUGUGGUGGCAGGCGCCUGUAAUCCCAGCUACUCGUGAGGCUGAGGCAAAAGAAUCCCUUGAACCACAGAGGCAGAGGUUACAGAGGCAAAAAAGUCACUUGAACCCCAGAGGCUGAGGUUGCAGUGAGCCAAAGUCACGCCAUUGCACUCCAGUCUGGGCAACAAGAGUGAAACUCCGUCUCAAAAAAAAAAAAAAAAAAAAAAAGCUAUUCAGCUAUUCUAAUAGGCGUGCAGCAAGAUCUAAUUAUAGUUUUGAUCUGCACUUCUCUAAUUAUGCUGAUGAAUAUCUUUUUAUGUGUUUAUUUGCUACUCAUAUCUUUUUGGCUAAAUAUCUGUUCAUGUCUUUUUCCAGUUUUUCUAAAAGUUGGCUAAUUUGAUUUCUUAUUGAAUUGUGAGAGUUUUUAAAAUCCAUAUUAUUUAUACAAGACCUUCAUCAGAUAUGUGAUUUACAAAUAUCUUCCCCCAGUUUGUUGCUUGUCUUCAUUGUCUUAACUGUAUUUUUAGAAGAAAAGACUUUUAAAAUUUUUGUCUAAUUUAUUAACUUUUAAUUAAUUAAUUUUGCUAAUUUUGUUUUCAGGGACUAUUUUUGUGUGGCAGGAAAUAGGGAGAUAUUGAAGAAUUUUGAGCAGGGGAUCAACAUAUUAAAAGAGACAUUAGGAUAAAAAUUGGUUUGAUUGUAGACAACAAUUUAAAUUGAAGUAGAAAUAAAUCUAGGGUAAGAGAAAUUAGCUGUUACAAUAAAUUAGGCAUGAAAUAAAUGAGGAAUUUAGGUAAGUAUGGUAACAACCAGAAUUAUACCUUAUUAAAAUUUCAUCUAUCUGCUUAACUAGAAUCUGCUAAUGAUUGAAUAGAUUUUCUUAUAGCCAGGGUUACUUCGGAUGACUCCAAAGGGAAAUCCAGAGACUUCCCUGAUCAGCAACAUGAGGAGGCCCCCAACCUCCUUAAUCCUAUUUGGCCAGUUCCUCCAAUGCCCUUUUUAAGAAAAUGUGUAUCAUGGUUUUCCAUGCAGUCAGGAAACAUAAACUUUCUAGGAUGCAAUUUAGUCAUAAUGCUUAUAUCUAUUAGUUAUUGCUAUAUCACAAACCACUUCAAAAGUUAGGGUCUUAAAACAACCAUCAGCCGGGCGCCGUGGCUUGCUCCUGUAAUCCUGGGCCGAGGCAAGCAGAUCACUUGAGGUCAGGAGUUCGAGACCAGCUUGGCCAACGUGGUGAAACCACAUCUCUACUAAAAGUAUAAAAAUUAGCCAGGCAUGGUGGUGGGUGCCUGUAAUGCCAGCUACUCGAGAUGCUGAGGCAGGAGAAUCACUGGAACCCAGGAGCGGAGGUUGCAGUGAGCUGAGAUCGUGCCACAGCACUCCAGCCUCGGCGACAGAGCAAGGCUCUGUCUCAAAAAAAACAAAAACAACCAACCAACCAACCAACCAAACAAAAAACAAAACCGUUGUUUACUUAGCUCAUGAUUCUGAAGAUUUGACCAUUUGGGGUGGGAACAGCUGGGUUCUUCUGGUUCCUUCUGGGUCCUCUACUUGGCUACAGAUGGCUUUGUUGAUCUUGGCUGAGCUCUCUCAAAUGUCCUGGUGCCUUGGCUAGCUUAUUGAAGCCCAGGCUUAGCAUUAACAAGUGCCUUCCAUGGUAUUUAAUUGGACAAAGUAAGUCAAAGGCAGCCCAGAUUCAAGGAGUGCAUACAAGGAGGGGAAUAAUCGUAGGCAUUUUUGCAAACAAUCUGCUUCGGUGCUUAUCUUCAGACCUGAGAUAUGGUCAUGUUUGUGACAUUCCUUGGAAAGAAAAGCAUCCUAGAGACCUUUCUAGGAGUUACUGGUGAAGGAAGUAUUUAGAAGAUAAACUUUCAUUAAAUUCAUUGUAGCAGGAUCUGGGAAUUAGGAUCUCAAGGGGAAAUCCCAACUCUUGUUGUUUGCUUCCCGUAAGAAUAAGAAACAGCAGCAUUAUCAAGUGCUGUACUUUACUACAAAUAUUAACCGGCAACAAUUGACCCUCUCUGGGACUUUCCAUUUAGUUAUUUACUGGAAGCUGUUCUGUAAUUUUCAGCAGUGCUGUUAUCUAUGAGAUUACUUUUCUUUUAGCUGUGCUGGGUUUUCAGACGCAUUAAUAUAGCUUAAUAUCUCUUCCUGUUGCUUCUCUAAUUAAAAGCUUGUUGGAUUUCCAAAUAAGAAAUAACAUACACAAGCACUGGUAAUUCAGGCUGCUAAUAAUUGGGAGAAAAACUUCAGCAAGGAACAGCAUCAACCAGGCAUGAGGGAUCUUAUGAUCCGGCAAAGAAAGAGGCCUAGGAGUCUGGGGAGGAUUGCAGGGCAGUGAUCUGGCUCUGAGCAGCUGGCCUCCCUGAGAGGGGCUGCUGCCGAUGAAGGACCGCCAACAGACAGCCUGAGUAUAGUGCAUGUGCCCUGUCCCAAGAUGGAUGUUUGAAUCCUGGAUCCAAGAGAAGAGCUCAUGUCUGUUUUUCCAAUCACUGCUUGUAUCCUUUCCUGCUUCCCCAAGUCCCUCAUUCCUCUCCUCCCGGCGGCUUUUGCCCUCUUUGGUCCAGGCCGCAGGAAACCGUUCCUCUAGUUCUAACAAUCGGCCACUAGAUGGCACUAGAUGUUCGGAUUAAAGUGCCUUCCUGAGCUCCACGGGCCCAGGGCGAGGGCAGGCAGGGUCUGAAGACAGCUUCUCUCGGCCACCGUCAUUCUCUCUCCCACUUCGCUCUUCACUUCUCAUCCCUUCCUCAUCCCAUUUAAACAUUAGAUUCCUUCCAGCAGCGGUGUUUGCGUGAUUUCAAAGGUAAGGACACAGAAGCCCAGGGAAUAUAAGUAACCUCCCAAAAAUCGCACAGCAGAUCCAACUAGCACAAUGUCAAUGAUGAAAUGGACCAGUGUCAUAUUCUGCGGGAUAUCAAGGCAAUCAAGAUCAUCUUGGACUGUAUUGUGACAGAGGGCCAGGGAGUGAACAGAGCCCUUAUAAUGACAGAUCUCAUAUAUCGCAGCAACAAAGAUGGCCCCCAGGAGUUCCAUGGACCCUUAUUUCUCAUCAUUUAGAAGGAGAAAGCACCUCUUUCCUCAGUUCCUCUCUUCAGGACUCCCAGUACCCCUGCUUCUGGUGACAGCCCAUGGCAGGUGGGGAGGACGUGCAGAUGGAAAGAAUGAGAAGGGCAGGUUUGGGCCCUCAUGGGUGACAGAAAAGUACCAGAGUUCUGGUUCCUCUUUGAACACACAUGUUCUCUGGGUUUCGCCUUGCAGCCCAAGAAGAGAGGAGGCUUGGAAUCACCACACUUCCCACAGCAAGGGCAAUCUUUAAAGGCAGUAAGGUGUGACGCUCCAGACUGGCAGCUUGGCAAGACAGAGCCCAUGGAUACCAGCACACGGGAAUCUGGACGGCUCACUCUGACAGCAGUCAGCACUGGGAACAAAAGGAAUGGAGGGAAAAAAGCGCAAAUGUAUUUUUACAUAUUGUAGGCAUAUGGCCACAAGACCAGCAGAAAUAUAUUUAAUUACCAAUUGCACGCAUUGAGGAGAAAAACACUGGAAAUGGGGGAAAAACUGUAUACACAGCAAUAUUAUUCUAAUUUAACUUUUCACCUCAGUUUUUUUUUUCUUUCUUUAAUUGAAAAUGGAAGGGAAUGUGGGUUGGAAUCGCAAAGGGUUAUCUUCUGGAAUUCUAUCAAAGGUGAUGUGGGAUUUUGACAUGCCUUCUUUAACAGCAUAACAUUAUAGAAAGAAAUAGGAAAGUUUUCUUUUAGUUAUUUUAAUUAUGAAAUAAUUUGACCAAGGCGUUUUGGGGGAGUGGGGCAGACCGGAUUUGAAAUAUAACAGUUAGACAAUCUUACUGUCAUGUUAAAACUGUACUUUUGAUGUUACACAUUAGGCCUCAACAAUUAAUAACCUAAUCUUGAAAAAUUAUAUUCUUGUUCUUUUCUAUGAAAGCAGAAUACUUCAACCCCAUUUAUUGUCAGGUAUUGUCCUAGCCAGUGGAGGUACAGAGGUGAAUCAGAUGUCAUCCCUGCACUGAAGAAGCAUAGCCUAGGCUGGGAGACAAAUACACAUAUAUAUAAUUAUAAUGUUAUACCAUUAAAUUAUUAAAUAUGUGAAAAUUAUCAUUAGCUAAAAUCACAAUUAUAAUACACAUAAUACCAUCUAUAUAAGGCAAUGAUGUAGCUAUAUGAAUCCAGGGGCCAUAGAGGAUUGACUCUUAGUUCAGUCUGGGUGUCAGUCACACUGGAGGACCAGGGAGGAGACCUCUUCCAGGAAAAGCUGAUGAAAAGGAUCAGUGAGAAAAAGCCCGGGAAGAAGGCAGUUGCAUUUUGCAGAAUGAAGGAGUUUGGGCCAGUGUGAGCCAGCUCCCUUCCUAGGGUGCCGGCUCAGGGAGUCAGGUAAUGGGGCCAGGGAAACGUGUGCCCACUGACUUGGGAAAGAGAGAGGGGCCCAUACCUCCUUCUUGGCAGGAAAGAAAAUCACAGCCCCGAAAAAGUAACUUGCCAGGAGCCCCCUUCUUUGUAGCAUUCCUAUCACUGACUUCCUGUUAGCCUGGGUCUCCUGUUCUCACCCUGCUCUUUGAAAUCCUUGGUGGCCAGUGCCGGCUAUGUAGGUGACCUGUGCUCCCUGGUCCCAUGGAGGUUCUGCCCAGCUGACCAGCCUUGCAGUCUGUUUCUGCAGCCCAGAUAAUGGUUCAGAGGCAUGUUAAUGUGUGCUUUGCUUUAUGUAGCAAAUAUCAUCUUGAAAAGUUUUUUUGUACAUUUACUUUUUUUUUGUAAAGCGACCUACAUAAUAAAAGCACUAGGGGAGCUGGUUAUUUAAAGGAACCCUGUAGUGAAUCUUUUCAUAAUGUAGAAGCCAUUCCUUAAUUAAUCUUUGUUUUUCAUCAGACAUACCUGUGCCUCUGUGGCUUUUCUUUUUUUUUUUUUCUAAGAGGAAGCGGCCUAGGCUAUAGUGCCAAGUGCGUGAGACUGAGGGCCAGGGCUUCCAGAGCGCAUGCUGAGCUGUUGCUGGCUGCCACUGGGUUGAGGAUGUGAGCAUAACCUUGGGGUCAGUUCUAUCUUCUGACAAAGGCACAAUCAAAUGGGCUUAGGUUCAAAUCCGGGUUUUACCAUCCAUCGACUUCAUUUGGCAAUUCACUUGUUUCCUUGAAUGUUAGUUCUUUACCCAUGUACUGGGUGGUUACAUACGUCAAAUCAAAAAGUUUCUCCGAGGGCCUGGCAUCAUAGCUAUGACUAAGGGUUUGCUUGCCCCCACUCCAAUUCUACUCUGCUCCACUCUGCAACAGCCCCUUGGAGCAAGAGCCACAGCUGGACUUGUUGGGAGGAAAUACUUGUUAACUUGGGACCUCCCUGCAACUGUUUCCUCAGAGGAGAGGAAAUGCCCACUCUACUCCCCAGGAGGAAGGUGGAUAAAAGACAAUAUUUUAGACUAUUCUUUACCCCUGGUUACCCAUGGUAAAAAGUGAUUGAUCUUAAUAGUAAAGUUUCAGAUACAGCCAUCUUGGGCAGGUCUGUACAUUCAAGUAUGGUAGUAUGGGCUGCCCUCCCCCACCGCCACACCCUCAGACAGGCCCAUAUGUUUUAAAUUGAUCCAAAUCUGCUCUUUUUUUCCAUAUCUGAGCCCACCCCUGUGGCUCUUCAGGAGCUUUUGGUCUGAGCAAGGGUCCCACAGCCUCCCCUGAUCCUGUUUCAUCAGUUAUAAACCUGUUGGAACAUUGUGUCUGCUCAGCUUGCUAGAACUUUUUACCUCCCUAUCCUCUAGCUGCUGGGGAGGGCAGACACCUGCUUGGCACCACACAUGCUUUCCGGUCAUCUGGUCACCUGUGGGCCUGCAGCUAGGGUGGUGGUUGUGGCUGGAGCUUAGAGCCACAUCCAGUGAGGGUCACAGAGCUCCUCAGAGAAGUGCUGGGAGUGAGACUCCAACCCGCCCCAGCACUGAGGUGGGGUUGAGGGAUGUGGCUGAAUGACCAAGGGGAUGGCCAUAGACUCUAUCCAGGAAGAGAAAUCCCAAGGGCAGGCAGGUUAACCUGUCCCCACAAACUCAUGUCCAGGCCCUGGGGUUCCCAACCCUGACUGAUGAGAACCGACAGCUAUACCCUUUUGGUUGGCAUUUCUGAGAAUUGCGUGGACAAUUCUCUUCUCUUUUCUUACUGAAGGAAGGACAGAUAUAGAGGUGGUUCUAACUCUGGUGCUGGUAUAUUUGUGACUAUCACUGGGAUCAUAUUACCAGAGUAAGUUUGACCAAUUUGGAGAAUUGGCCUUGGAGAGGUCAACACUUAAGAGAAAGGCCAAGGCCAUGGCCUGGCUCAAAUGGAUCCCAUUUCUUGCACAUGAGUUACACUGACUCAGUUAUUGGAGAGCCCUCUUGUGCUUGGGUAGGAAUUUGAAAUGUUGAAGUAGUCAUGGGUUAGGGACCUGCUGCUAAUGACCCUCCUGUAACCCAAACUUAAGAUACUUCUGGAAAAUAGACUACAUCAGAAGACUUCUAAGGUCCCUCAUUCACUCAUUCAUCUAUUCUUUUAUCUGGGAUUUAUCAGGGACCUACCAUGUACCAGGUUCUAUACCACCUGUUGGAGAAACAAUGGUGAAUGAGUCCCUGCACUUCCAAGGCUUGCAGUCCAGUAGUAGAGAGGCAAGUGAAGACAAUUAACUCGGUAUGAGAAGCACAAAAGAUAGAUAGGGGAGCACAGACCAGGGACAGCACACCCAGUUUAGAGGGACUGGGAAACAUUUCUGGAGAAAAUGAUCAGUAAUGUUAGGUGUUUUUGUCCAGGAAAGGCUGAGGGGGGUGACAACACCCUUCCAAGAAGGCUUGCACUGUGAACAACACUGAAGUGACUUGCCCAGGGGCACUCUAUAAGUAGCAGAGCCUGGAUUGUUCAAAAGUGAAACCCUACGUUCUUAGUCACGUUGCUCCACUGUCAAUAUUGAAAUGAUUAUUCAAGAGGCCCAACUAUUGAUUAUAAACAAUAGUGCAUUGCAGAUCUGGCUGCUUUCUUGGCCAUGUGGGGCUUUGAGCUCUAGCCCCUAAAUCAGCAGAGAAAACACAAUCCAGCCACAGAUGGUGGCUCACACCUGUAAUCCUAGCACUUUGGGAGGCUAAGGCGGGUGGAUCACCUGAGGUCAGGAGUUCGACACCAGCCUGGCCAACAUGGUGAAACCCGUCUCUACUAAAAAUACAAAAAAAUUAGCUGAGCGUUGUGGCAGGCACCUGUAAGUCUCAGCUACUUGGGAGGCUGAGGCAGGAGAAUCGCUUGAACCCAAGAGACAGAAGUUGAAGUGAGCAGAGAUUGCACCACUGCACUCUAGUCUGGGUGACAGAGUGAGACUCUGAAAAAAAAAAGAAGGAAGAAAGGAAGGAAGGGAGAAAGGAAAGAGAGAAAAGAAAGAAAGAAAAAGAAAGAGGGAAGAAAGAAAAAGAAAGGAAAGAAAAAGAAAGAAAAGAAAAAGAAAGAAAAAAGAAAGAAAAAGAAAGAAAGAAAAAGAAAGGAAGAAAGAAAGGAAGAAGAGAAGAAAGGAAGAAAGAAAGGAAAGAAAGAAAGAAAGAAAGAAAGAAAGAAAGAAAGAAAGAAAGAAAAAGAAAGAAAGAAAGAGAAAGAAAGAAAAAGAAAACACAAUCCAAACUAUUGAGUAGUCAGGGGAGUUAGGCAGGAACAAUACCGAUGUUGUCUGGACCCUGAAUAACAUAUUCCAAACAACUUUCUCAUUGCCUAAGUAAGUCGAAAGUACUGUUUUGCAAUUUGGUUGCAGUGUGCAAGUUUGGUUGAUUUCAUGUGUCUUAAAGAAUUAUGCUCUGUAGACACCAUGUGAUUACUUUUUAAAGUGAAGUGAAGUAAGAGUGAUACUUAAUAUCACAGUAUUAGGGCAAUGCCUUUAUAAAUUAGAUGCCUACUUUAAAAUUUAUAAAAUUGUGGCACCAAAUAUAUGUACAGUCAACCUGCUGUAUCUGGAGGUUCCACGUCUGUGGAUUCAACUAAUCAUGGAUUGAAAACAUUUUUACAAGAUGGCUGGUCAUGUCUGUCCUGAACAUGUAUGAAAUUUUUUAUUGUUAUUCCCUAAACAAUAUAGUAUAGCAACUAUUUACAUAACAUUUACACUGUAUUAGGCAUUACAAAUAAUUUAGAGAUGAUUUAAAGUAUACAGGAGGUUGUGCAUAGGUUGUAUGCAAAUACCAUGCCAUUAUACAUGAGAGACUUAAGCAUCUGUGGAGUUUGAUAUUAGCAGUAGGUCCUGGAAUCAAUCCUCCAGUGAUACUAAGGGAUAACUGUAUAUUCAUAUUCUGUCUCCUGGAAAGAUAUAAAAUGUCUCACAACAAAAGUAAUUUUUUUUAAAAAUUAAGAUUCAAGGAAGUAACACUAGGAAGUUCAAUUUGAAUGGAAUAUACAUAAAAUUUAUUUCUGGGUUCCCUGGGAGCCAAAGCAAAAAGGGAAACAUGAAAAAAAUGCAUAAUUUUUUUUUAUCAAAAAGGAGAAAGCAGAUUCACUCCCCCUGGAAAAAAAAGUGUUUGCAAAGACAAAAAUUCUAAAAAUAGUAAUUUAACAUAGACUUAACCUUUGGAAGAAAGAAGAAACAAUUCAAGGUGUUUGUAAUGUAAUGGAUUAUCAUAUAAUCAAGAACUAUGAUGAAAUAGAGAACACUCUUUCCUUUAAACCUAGAACAGAGAAAGAAUUCCUAUCAGAGAACUAUUAAUGGAAAGUCAGAACCACUAGGCUCUGAUGUGCAGAUCUAGGUUCAAAAUGCAGCGCUUAUUUAUCUAUUUAGUUAUGUGUUUAUGAGGCAACUAUUUGUUGAUUACCUAGUCUGUGCCAUUCAUGUUUCUAGGGCUGUGAUGGAGUGAUGAAAAAGAAAAAGUCCCUGCUCAUAAUUCACAUAAUGACUCCAGCACAUUAAUAUAAAAUUUUACAGUUUUAAUUGUCACAUGAUGUGUGAUGGAUGAAUUAUGAGUUAAUCAACUUACAUGAUACUUUAUGGUUUGCAAAAUGUUUUCACACAUCAUUACAACCCAAAUCUCCUUGCAGAAGCAUGGGGACAUUCUAGACAUAGCUCAACAUUCAAAUUUGGACUAAUGCUCCUGGUUAAGGAGUCUUGAUAUAUCAUGAAAGUAUUGGUUGUGCUUAUAUUUUUCCAUUAAAAAGGAUAUGCUUAAGAGCCCAUUUCAGUAAUUAGGAAGAAAGUUAGCUAGCAAAUGCCACAAGAGACUUUAACAUACCUUGAUGUGCUUAAGAGUUGAACAUUGCACUCAGUGACACUUAGUUUAAUGAAUAUCACAAUUUUCUUCACAUCCCAUGAAGCAUUGCAGGACUUUUGGCAAAAUGUGAGGUCCUUCUGCUAGGCACAGCUAGGAAAUACUAAUAACUGUUAAAUGAGAACCUCUUGUUCCUAUCUUAAGGCAAUGACAUCAUUCAUAUGGUUCACUCAGCCUCUCAGGCCUUUUAUUCUCCUCCUUCAGCAUGCCUAUUGCAUACAAUAGGUAAAGAAUUCUCCUUCUUUUCCAGUUAAUUAACCCACCUGCUAAUAAUACUCUUCUGUCCUUGAUUGAUUCAGAGCAACCUCCAGCUGUCAGCCUCCUAUCUAGUCAGAAGCUUUUGAUGAUGAAAAUGGAGUCCAUAAGAAAGAAAUGGGCUACAAAUAUUAAGUGCAGGCAGGCAAGGUGCAAGUAGGGUGAUAUCUUAUCCCAGUUUGCCCAGAAUUUUAUGCUUUUAGUGCUGAAGAUCCCAAGUCCUGGGAACCCACUAAAUAGGACUAGGAAUUGUUCCCCUAAGUGCAGGGAAUCAUCUCUAUAGUCAAACAGCAACAAAUGAGUAAACAUGAGGGGGCAGGUAACAGCAGAUGUUUUAGUUUGGAUUCCUCCAAUAGCAGGCUCUAAGUCUAGGAUUCCAUGCAAGUGGUUUACUGGGAGAUGAUCCUAGGAAACAGUGGUAGGGGAGAAGAGAAAUGAGAUAGGAAAGCAAUUGCCACUGUGGGCAUCUGGAACCUAUUCCUACUGAGAAACACUGAGAGUAGUGCAAUACAUGUGCCUUUGAGCCAUGCUGCCUGAGGGGAAUUGGAGUUGGGGUAACUACCAGUUGUUAGUUGAAGUCUGUUCUUAGUGGUGGAGGCGGAGUUUGCUAAUUGUGCCUGCUGAGCCUAUGGGCAGAGUGGACCUCAAUUUUCCGAGAAAGUUCUCCAACCAAAAGAUGCAGAUGCUGCAGGUAGAAGCUGUGCUAUAUUGCACACUGAAAUGGUAAGGUAGGACAGUGAUGAUGCUGUUACAAUGGGUCUACAUUGUUUUCCAGGUCAACUCAUUCUACAGCACUGACUGGCUAACUCUUCCCUGUGUGGACACAGCUUCUUUGGUAAUAUAAGAAAAAAACAUGUGUGCUAGAUAUGGGGGAGAGUAAGGAUUUGAGUGGAUAUUUGAAAGGCAGAUGAGUUUGAUGCCUUGGAAUCAUGCCUAAUAUAUGUUCUUUUCAUUCGUGAUUAUCAUAUAGCCAAACUAUAGAUAUGUGGGAUUAGUAGUCUCCAAUAAGGCCACUUCCAAGUAGUCUUCCAAGUAGCCUUCAAUCAUACCACUUCAGGCAUUAAUUCUAUUAGUCUGAAUGAUUUGGGCAGAUGAGACUUUUGAACACCACUUGGUCUUACCAUGGCUUAUGAGGCCUCAUUAUCAUAAAAAGUAGACUUGUUCUUUCACUUAUAUCUUUCUCUGAGCCAUUAUAAACCAUUUUAUUAUUUCUGUCUUUGAGCUGAACAAAGUUGUCUCUCAGGUCUCCUAUAGAAAUAUCUAGAACAUGACCUCCUUCUGAAGUUUGUAAUGUAUUCAGAGUGGAAUGCGAUGGUAAGCUGUGCACCUGGGUAUACAAGCAAGGUACUUGGAGUUGAUGGGUGAGCUACAUUCAGCCUCAUUCAGCCCUGAAGACCAAGAUUGUUCAUCUUCCAGCUGACCUGACAAGCACCUCUGCCAAAUAGAGAUUAUUGAAUCUGGAUAGACGCUGAAGAGUCAAUCAGAUUGUUGUUCAAGGAGUUUAGCAAAGACAAUUGGUGAACAGAAGCCAUAUGUAAUUAAAAGCCUCACUGUAGGGAGAGACCAGUGUGAGAAUUGCUUGGUUGUGGUGGAGAGAUCUUAGGCACAAAUGCAGAGCAGUUGUGUGGAGCUGUGGUCAUGACAGACGGUCUUUGGAAUGAGAAGCAAUGUUUCCCUGCCAUGGAGAGGAAAAGGAAACCAGGUGGCUCAACCUGGCUUGUGUCUUAAAAGUCAACCCAGCAUCUAUGAGUCUGCCUCUGAAGCUAUUGGGACACUCUUCUGUAUUCUUCAGUUCCCACGUGCAGCCUUAUGAGAAAUAGUUAAUUGUCUCCACCAACCCGAAAUAACCCAACUAACGUAUCUUUUAAGUAUUUGAAAUCACCACUCACCUGUCUCUGACUUAGGCUAAACAAUUUUAAUUCCAUUAUUUUUUAUUUUUACCAUUUAAACAUUAGUUUAAUUUUAAUUUUUUUUUUUCGGAGAUGGGGUCUUACUCUGUCGCCCAGGGCUGGAGUGCAGUUGCACAUGGCUCACUGCAGCCUCAACCUCCUGUGUUUAAGCGAUCCUCCCUACCUCUAGCCUCCUGAGAAGCUGGGACCACAGGCAUGUGCCAGCAUGCCCUGCUAAUUUUUACUUUUUUAUUUUUGUAGAGAUGCAGCCUCCUUAUGUUGCCCAGGGCUGGUCUCAAACUCCUGGGCUCAAGUGAUUCUCCUGCCUCGGCCUCCCAAAGUGCUGGGAUUAUAGGCAUGAGCCACUGCACCUGGCCUUAUUUUGAAUUUGAAGACUUAUACAUUCAAUUCAGCCUCUUCAAGUCCUCCUACCUAGGAGGCACUGGGGAGUAGACUAGCAUGAGAUAUGAGACUUAGGGUCAGAAAUACAUAGAUUCCAAGCUUGGCCCAGCAGUCCACUUUAAAUGUGCAUAUGGGCAAGCUACUUAACUUCUCUGAAGCUUAAAUGAGAAUUAUAUUUAUAAUUAACAAUAUUAUUAUUACCCCCACAAAAAAUAAGAUACGUGAAAAUCUUUUUCUCUACCCUUCCUUGCCCUCAGAUAUAUUCUAUGAAAGACUGAGAUUUGUUAUCUUAUAAAAUAGAAUCUAAUAAAGAAAAUAAAAGAGUAGGAAUUAAAAACAUGAUAAAUGGAGAAUAAUAAGUGAAGAAAGCCAAUAUUAUUUGAGCUACAAACUUAAUAGUGAGCUUCUUGGAAAUGAACAAAAGCAAAAUGCAAUAGUCACAUCCUACUCUAAUAAAAUGAAAUAUAAAAUUUUAUAAAGUAAGAAAUAUGAUUUUUAGUUUACCUGUAAUGUGAAUUGUUACAUUGGUUCUGUUUUAAGAGACAUUGAAACAGACAGCAGAAAUUUUAUAGUAGACAGAGAAAGGACCUCUGUAUCCUAUUUCUUUUAUUAACUGCAAAUUAAAAGCUAUGCAUGUAGAGUUGUGUUGGAGGUUUCUUGAAGGUAUUUUCAUAGACAGAUGAGAGAAGAUAUAGCCAAGGUAGCCAAGACAUGUUUUUUCUUUUCUUUUCUUUUCUUUUUUCUUUUUUCUUUUUGGGCGACAGGUUCUCACUCUGUUGCCCAGGCUGGAGUGCAGUGGCGCGAUCAUAGCUCACUGCAGCCUCAACAUCCUGAGCUCAAGCCAUCUUCCCAUGCAAGCCCCCCAGUAGCUGGGACUACAGGCAUGUGCCAGCACACCUGGCUAAUUUUUUAUUUUUAGUUUUUGUAGAGACGAGGUCUCACUACGUUGCCCAAGCUAGUCGUGAACUCCUGGACUCAAGGGAUCCUCCCACCUCAGUCUCCCAAAGUGUUGGAAUUACAGGCAUGAGCCACUUCCUGGCCAAGGCAUGUGUUUUCUAAUAAAAGUGAAUAAAUGUAGCAACACAGCAUGAAGGAUCUAGAGUAAUUGUUUAUGUCCUUUCUCUGUUUUCAAAUAUGAAUUGCCUUGGUUUAUUUUCAUAUUGCACUAGCUUCCUAACUGGUCUCCUUGCUGCAAUCUUGCAUGCCGUGAGUCUUUUCUCUAUGAGGCAGCCAGGACAAUAUUUCUAUUUUGUUGUGUCACUUGCUGGUUUUAAGCUAUUUCUACGGUCCACUCCUAAAUUCUUGAAGUUUUUCAGAUAUGCCAUGUAGUUCCCCCUUUGCACAUUCUCCUUUUCCUGGAAUACCAUCGCUAUUGUCAACUAGAUUGCCAGGUUAAUAUAAUCCUUUGGAAGUCAGAUCAGACAUCGCUACUUCUAGAAAAACUUAACCACCCCAACCUUGUCUGAAUUUGUUUCCUCUCCUCUGUGUUCUUAAGCAUUCUACUACACAGUAUUGUUAUUUUGUAUUUACCUGUCUAUAAGUCAGAGGCACCAUUGUCAGAUCUUCAUCAAGCCUUCUGUGUUGGCAGAGUCCUGUUAUAUAGGAGGGGCUUAAUACAUAUUUCUUAAGUGAGCGAAUGACUUAGUAGGAGCUGGCUUUCAAACCAAUAGUCAAUGUCAUGUUAAUAACCAAUGAACAUUUUCCCAAAGUAUGUUUCAGAAAACACUGCUUCUGAGAAAUAUUAUAGGUGUCCUGGACAGAACACUUCCAUAGUUAAGGAAGUAGAAAAUGCUGCAUGUUCUAUCUCUCCAAAAAGUCGCUAUUUUCAUUAGAAUAUUAAAGGCUCUGGCAUGUUUUUCAAUUAAUAAACUUAUUUACUAUAUAUUUUUCUUACUUUUGUGUGUGUGUGAUUGUGUAGUACCUGUUGGAACUAAUUACUUACGACAAAAACAGCUUGAAAAACCUUGCUCUGCAGGCUUUACUUAAAAUUCGGAAAUCAGAUCAAGCACUGUAGCUCAAGUGCCUGUAAUCCCAGCACUUUAGGGGGCCAAGGUGAGAGGAUCACUUGAGGCCAGGAGCUUGAGACCAGC